UACGUAGGGGGCUAGCGUUGUCCGGAAUUACUGGGCGUAAAGGGCGCGUAGGCGGCCUGUUAAGUCGAACGUGAAAUCCCCGGGCUCAACCCGGGAACUGCGUCCGAAACUGGCAGGCUUGAAUUCGGGAGAGGGAUGCGGAAUUCCAGGUGUAGCGGUGAAAUGCGUAGAUAUCUGGAGGAACAUCGGUGGCGAAGGCGGCAUCCUGGACCGAGAUUGACGCUGAGGCGCGAAAGCCAGGGGAGCAAACGGG
This 253-nucleotide ribosomal RNA is filed under the name uncultured bacterium. RNAcentral's name for it is "partial 16S ribosomal RNA". It matches the Rfam family "Bacterial small subunit ribosomal RNA", at positions 524 to 776 of the family's 1533-position model. The record is from RNAcentral.